Bacillus rossius redtenbacheri is the source of this 1365-nucleotide long non-coding RNA. RefSeq lists it as uncharacterized. The record is from RefSeq and is a predicted model, not a curated record. The transcript has 3 exons. NCBI's taxonomy places the organism in Eukaryota, Metazoa, Arthropoda, Insecta, Phasmatodea, Bacillidae.
GCAAUGUUUUGAAAUGUGGAAUAUUUAGAUAUUUUUCUAUCAGGAUAUAAGAUGGAUAAACGUAUAUAAUUUCUGUUGCCAUUAUACUUUGUAAGGAAACCACACUUGCUACCGUUGGAGGGAGAAAAGCUGAUCAUGUGCGCCAUAUACUAGAGAGACUAUUCACAAAUAGAUUGGCAUUGAAAUACAAUUGGACAGGAAAAAACCAGAAGAUAGCAUUAAAAAAUCUGCAGCUCAUGAAGAUUAUACCUGCUGCUGUUAGAAGAAAUAAAUACACUAGCAACAUCUGUGAUGAUGAUGUGAAUAACAUUUUACGGAACUGGUUCCGUUUCGCAAAGGACAGGAUGGAGGUCGAGACAGCAGAAGACAGUCAGCUAAAUAGAAAAAGACAUCAGAAAAGUGUCUACAGUGGAAGUUCAAAGAGAACUAAUUUGCGAAAAGUGGUAGUUCGUUCAAAAGAAAUUUGUCAAGAAUUAUGUAAUGAAUUCCAGCACAAUUAUAUAAAUGUUACUGUAAACAAACACACUAACAUUCAUGGUGCUGAUUCAAACAAUGCAGAUAUUUCUACAAAUAAUAAUGAUUACAUGUGCAGCAGUUUUAAUAGUAUAAGUAGUACUGGUAAUGAUUCUUCAGUUGAAGAAAUUGAAAAUUCUGAACGUAGUGCUAACAUUGUUCCUGUUGAACAAAAAUUAGUUGACUGGAUGCACAGUUAUAACAUACCACAUAAUGCAGCAACAGCUUUGUAGCACAUUUUGAAACCACACAUGUCAGGUCUGCCUUUUGAUUCACGCUCUUUGCUUCACACUCCAAGGUGCUCAGUAGUGGACACACAUACAUCAGGCCUUUUCAAAUACUUUGGUGUAGAAAAAAAUUUUGUGAAAAGAGCCCUAACUGGAUUAAAACCAUGUCACUACCCAUUGCUAAGAAACAUUUACAGGGACUAUAGUUCAGAAAAUAUGGUGACAAUUUCUGUUAAUGGUGAUGGACUACCAUUAUUUUCCAGUUCAAAUAAAUAAUUCUGGGUUUUGUUGGGUAUACAUGACCAGGCUGUUUGACAGGUGUCCUUUUGUAGUUGCAGUAUAUUAUGGUACAUCAAAGCCUUCAGAUGCUACAGAAUUUCUUCAGCCAUUUGUAAAUGAAUGUGUGUUCCUUGAAGGAAAUGGAAUAAAUAUAAUGAACAAGCACUAUAAGUUUUGUGUCAGUUGUGUAAUUGCUGAUGCACCAGCAAGGUCAUUUGUAAAAUCUGUAGAUGGCCAUAAUUCACUAAAUGGCUGUGAGAAGUGUGUUCAAAAAGGGAAAUACUAUUGUAGAACAACAUGGCCGUACAAAAUUGAUUAUUCACUGAGGUCUGAUGAGUCAUUUAAA